UUGAAAUAACUGUGAGUUAAACAUGUUCUUGUCAUUUUUUUUUCAAUUAAAAUGUUUGAUAUUCAAUAAUUCUAAACAUAUUUUGUUGUCUUUGUCAUUGACCAAAAAUCUGACACUGGUGACCAUGUCUUGAAGGCAACCAUUAAAGAAAAUUAUACAGUUUUUAAACACCAUUUAUUUAAUAAAAAUAUUAAAUGUUUCUUCCAAAAACUGCAUGUAAUUAUAUAAAUGCUUCCAGUGUUAGCCUAACGAUGGCAAUUUUUCAUAAUUUAAACCAUUUUUGAACCAAAAUAUCAAGAGUUUUUCCCUGAGGUGAUACUCAUUUUUGACUUCAUGUGAAACACAAAAUGCACAUCUGAUUGUGGCUAGGCCG
This 373-nucleotide long non-coding RNA is filed under the name Mytilus galloprovincialis (Mediterranean mussel). The record is from RNAcentral. Lineage: Eukaryota; Metazoa; Mollusca; Bivalvia; Mytilida; Mytilidae.